This 639-nucleotide ribosomal RNA is filed under the name Weissella minor. Its description in RNAcentral is "bacterial SSU rRNA". It matches the Rfam family "Bacterial small subunit ribosomal RNA", at positions 63 to 675 of the family's 1533-position model. The record is from RNAcentral. Lineage: Bacteria; Bacillati; Bacillota; Bacilli; Lactobacillales; Lactobacillaceae.
CUGAUAUGAAGAGCUUGCUCGGAUUUGAAGAUGAACAUUGCAAAGAGUGGCGAACGGGUGAGUAACACGUGGGAAACCUACCUCUUAGCGGGGGAUAACACUUGGAAACAAGUGCUAAUACCGCAUAAUACUGAUAACCGCAUGGUUAUCAGUUGAAAGAUGGUUCUGCUAUCACUAAGAGAUGGUCCCGCGGUGUAUUAGCUAGUUGGUAAGGUAAUGGCUUACCAAGGCAAUGAUACAUAGCCGAGUUGAGAGACUGAUCGGCCACAAUGGGACUGAGACACGGCCCAUACUCCUACGGGAGGCAGCAGUAGGGAAUCUUCCACAAUGGACGAAAGUCUGAUGGAGCAACGCCGCGUGUGUGAUGAAGGGUUUCGGCUCGUAAAACACUGUUGUAAGAGAAGAAUGACAUUGAGAGUAACUGUUCAGUGUGUGACGGUAUCUUACCAGAAAGGAACGGCUAAAUACGUGCCAGCAGCCGCGGUAAUACGUAUGUUCCAAGCGUUAUCCGGAUUUAUUGGGCGUAAAGCGAGCGCAGACGGUUGUUUAAGUCUGAAGUGAAAGCCCACAGCUUAACUGUGGAAGUGCUUUGGAAACUGGAUAACUUGAGUGCAGUAGAGGAGAGUGGAACUUCAUGGG